RNAcentral lists this ribosomal RNA (520 nucleotides) under uncultured bacterium. RNAcentral's name for it is "bacterial SSU rRNA". It matches the Rfam family "Archaeal small subunit ribosomal RNA", at positions 345 to 866 of the family's 1478-position model. The record is from RNAcentral.
AACCUCCGCAAUGUGAGAAAUCGCGACGGGGGGAUCCCAAGUGCCAUUCUUAACGGGAUGGCUUUUCAUUAGUGUAAAGAGCUUUUGGAAUAAGAGCUGGGCAAGACCGGUGCCAGCCGCCGCGGUAACACCGGCAGCUCUAGUGGUAACAAUUUUUAUUGGGCCUAAAGCGUCCGUAGCCGGUUUAAUAAGUCUCUGGUGAAAUCCUGUAGCUUAACUGUGGGAAUUGCUGGAGAUACUAUUAGACUUGAGACCGGGAGAGGUUAGAGGUACUCCCAGGGUAGAGGUGAAAUUCUGUAAUCCUGGGAGGACCGCCUGUUGCGAAGGCGUCUAACUGGAACGGUUCUGACGGUGAGGGACGAAAGUUAGGGGCGCGAACCGGAUUAGAUACCCGGGUAGUCCUAACUGUAACGAUGCGGACUUGGUGUUGGGGUGGCUUUGAGCUGCUUCAGUGCCGAAGGGAAGCUGUUAAGUCCGCCGCCUGGGAAGUACGGUCGCAAGACUGAAACUUAAAGGAAGU